Molecule: long non-coding RNA, 270 nt
Organism: Vombatus ursinus (common wombat)
Lineage: Eukaryota; Metazoa; Chordata; Mammalia; Diprotodontia; Vombatidae
Exons: 3
Source: RefSeq, a predicted model, not a curated record
GAAAAUAAAACACUUAGAGAGACGGGCUCUUAGAGACCAAUGGAGUUAGUGACCUUUUAGUCCCACUCCAUUUUAUAGAUGAGGAAACUAAGGCUGAGAGAGAGCACUAGAAUGGACAUUCAAAAGACUUGGGUUCAAGUUUCAGCAAUGCUGCCAUUUCCUAAAUGCAUGACCUUGGAUGUUUGUAUACAUGCCUUUCUCCCUGUUACACUGUAUGUAAACUCCUUGAGAGCAACUGAGUCUGUGUUAUAUGUCUUUAUACCUCCAAGC